CACAUCCUGAGUACUGGAGCUGGGC
This 25-nucleotide non-coding RNA is filed under the name Rattus norvegicus (Norway rat). The record is from RNAcentral. Lineage: Eukaryota; Metazoa; Chordata; Mammalia; Rodentia; Muridae.